This 434-nucleotide ribosomal RNA is filed under the name uncultured bacterium. RNAcentral describes it as "partial 16S ribosomal RNA". It matches the Rfam family "Bacterial small subunit ribosomal RNA", at positions 29 to 508 of the family's 1533-position model. The record is from RNAcentral.
AACGAACGCUGGCGGCAUGCCUAACACAUGCAAGUCGAACGAGACCUUCGGGUCUAGUGGCGCACGGGUGCGUAACGCGUGGGAACCUGCCCUUAGGUUCGGAAUAACUCCCCGAAAGGGGUGCUAAUACCGGAUAAUGUCUUCGGACCAAAGAUUUAUCGCCUUUGGAUGGGCCCGCGUUGGAUUAGCUAGUUGGUAGGGUAAAAGCCUACCAAGGCGACGAUCCAUAGCUGGUCUGAGAGGAUGAUCAGCCACACUGGGACUGAGACACGGCCCAGACUCCUACGGGAGACAGCAGUGGGGAAUAUUGGACAAUGGGCGAAAGCCUGAUCCAGCAAUGCCGCGUGAGUGAUGAAGGCCUUAGGGUUGUAAAGCUCUUUUACCCGGGAUGAUAAUGACAGUACCGGGAGAAUAAGCUCCGGCUAACGCCGUGC